UUACGGUCAAAUCACGCUGAAAUACCGGUUCUCGUACGAUCACCGAAGUUAAACCAGGUAGAGCCAGGUCAGUACUUAGAUGGGGGACCGC
Molecule: non-coding RNA, 91 nt
Organism: Acanthosepion pharaonis
Lineage: Eukaryota; Metazoa; Mollusca; Cephalopoda; Sepiida; Sepiidae
Source: the annotation of a GenBank genome assembly